Molecule: ribosomal RNA, 512 nt
Filed under: uncultured bacterium
Lineage: Bacteria
Description: partial 16S ribosomal RNA
Source: RNAcentral
GGAGUUAGCCGGUGCUUCUUCUGCGAGUAACGUCACAGAUGUAAGGUAUUAACUUACACCCUUUCCUCCUCGCUGAAAGUGCUUUACAACCCGAAGGCCUUCUUCACACACGCGGCAUGGCUGCAUCAGGGUUUCCCCCAUUGUGCAAUAUUCCCCACUGCUGCCUCCCGUAGGAGUCUGGGCCGUGUCUCAGUCCCAGUGUGGCUGAUCAUCCUCUCAGACCAGCUAGGGAUCGUCGCCUAGGUGAGCCUUUACCUCACCUACUAGCUAAUCCCACCUGGGCUUAUCCAUCAGCGCAAGGCCCGAAGGUCCCCUGCUUUCCCCCGUAGGGCGUAUGCGGUAUUAGCAGUCGUUUCCAACUGUUAUCCCCCACAAAUGGGCAAAUUACCAGGCAUUACUCACCCGUCCGCCGCUCGUCAUCUUCAAAAGCAAGCUUUUGAAAUGUUACCGCUCGACUUGCAUGUGUUAGGCCUGCCGCCACGCGUCAUCUGAGCCGAGAUACAACUACUCGA